CGCGUAGGCGGUGCGGUAAGUCACCUGUGAAAUCUCCGGGCUUAACUCGGAGCCUGCAGGCGAAACUGCCGUGCUGGAGUAUGGGAGAGGUGCGUGGAAUUCCCCGUGUAGCGGUGAAAUGCGUAGAUAUCGGGAGGAACACCUGUGGCGAAAGCGGCGCACUGGACCAUAACUGACGCUGAGGCGCGAAAGCUAGGGGAGCAAACA
RNAcentral lists this ribosomal RNA (207 nucleotides) under uncultured bacterium. RNAcentral describes it as "partial 16S ribosomal RNA". It matches the Rfam family "Bacterial small subunit ribosomal RNA", at positions 568 to 774 of the family's 1533-position model. The record is from RNAcentral.